AUUCUACACUCCCUGGCCUUCCUUGUCCAGAGGCUUCUUCCUAAGAACUCAGUGCCAGGAUUUUGAGUAGCACUGGAUAUUCUGUGCAAUGGGUUCGUUCAUCCAAUUUCCACCACUUUACAGAUGAACUGGGGAUCAGAGAAGGCAAGCCACCUCCCCAAGGUCACACAGCUUGUGAGAGCAAGACAACAGCAUCGAGGCCUAUGUAAUAGCAGAGCCAUUGCUUCUUUGGCUCUGCGGAAGCUUGUAUUGUGGUAUAUCUGUGGUGUAGCUUUGCUGUCUCCUGUGUCAAUGUCAGGAGGACAGGCUGAGCUCCUGGGACCAGAACCCCUCAGAUUCCAGGAGGAGCAGAGAAAGCACAGAUGGCCUGGAGAGUCCCAGGGGUGAGGCCAGCAAGUACUUUCUUCCCCCAGGUGCUCAGAGCAUCCUCUGAGUUGCCAAACAGACUCCCAGAGGGGUCAACUGUGGGCCCUAAACCAGACAGCAGCUGGGAAGCAGGCUCUCAGGGGAACUGGGGUCUCACCAGCUCAGGAGCAGGCCAGGACUCCUCAGCACAGAAGCUGGGAAUCUUGAGUGUCCAGAUCAGCCUGAAAAUCUGGACUUGGGAAAAGCCAUCUGGCUGGGGCCACCUGCAUGCCGCUGUGACUGGGGCAUCCUGCUGCUCUCCUCUCUCACAAGGUGGUGCCAUCUGCCUUGUCACUGCUCCUCAGGACAAGCCUGACUGCUCUCCCUGCACCUCUGGCCAUUGAGAAUCCGGCUGCUCCAUCGUGGUGGAAAAUCUUCCAUGCUCAGAGGGACACCUUCCGACACUGGGGUUCUGGAGAGCCUGGUGCCACGAGACAAGGAGCCAUGUGACAAGAGGGGGAGGGGUAGGAGUGGGAGACACAAGUGUGGUUUGGGACAAAAUAGGGCCUGAGGCUCACGUGUUAUAAAACCCCCUUUGCUCUGCCUGUCUCCUUGAAUUGUGGCCAGUUUCACAUGGGAAGCAACGUCGAGGGACAGGGAGACUGCAGGUGAGGCCUCAGGGCUCUGCAUUCCCAUCCCCAAAAGUCACCAGCGUGUGGCCUUGUGGGUGUCACUCCCCUCUGUGGAGUCAACUUUGUGCAGUGACAUGCAGAGGCUGGACUGCUGCCACCUCAUGCCCCUCCUGGCAUGAUGGUCGCAUGAGGCUGAGUGAUUUGCAGGUCUAUGGGGAAACCCGCCUCAGAGAUGUGGAGGAGAAGCCAGGCAGAGCGCUGUUCAUUCCAUUUCUUUCUUUUUUUAAUCUAAAGGAGGGAAAGAGCUUUAUUAACUCAAACAAAGGGAUGCCAUACAACUUCCCAACGAUACUGUGCAGUGAUGGUAUUAGCUUCCACCUGUUCUUCCAUUCUGGGGGCAGGGUGUGAGGACUGGCUGCUCUGGGAGACGCUCUGAGCUGAGAGAGAAGAAAUAGCUAUGCUAAUAGCUGCCCCUUACUGAGUGCUCACUCUGUGUCCGGGGCUACACCGAGUGCUUGCAGCGGGUUCUCAGGCGCACUUAGAACAGCACUGUGAGAAAGGCACUUUUGCUGCCCCUUGUGUACAGAUGAGGACAAAGAGGGACAGAGAGGUUUAGAACCUUGACCUAUAUCACACAGCCAGUGAGCAGACGACCGGAAUUUGAAUCCUGCAAUCUCUCUGCAGAGCCUGCGCAUUUAAUACCACACACAGUUCUGGCCUGCAGUGAAUUUGGUUGUUCUUCCUGCCUGGGGUGGUCAGUUUCCAAGCCUUUCCAGAUGGACUUCUGCAGCCCAAAGCUGCGUGCUCCCCGUGCAGGCCCUUGUCAGAGCAGAGAAAGAUGGCUGAAGUUGUUGUCCAUCUAGAUUUUUAUCUUCAAAACAUUGCUGAAAUCAAUCUCUCUUCUACCGUCUCCGAUUUCCUUUGUCCUUAUGGGUGGUCUACAACUUUACUAUCAUUUUAGUGGAUGCAAGAGGAGUGGAGAUAAACACGUGUUCAGCCUGCUGUGAAUCUCUGCAGUGGCUAUGUUGUUUCUUAAACAGAUGUAAUGAGGCAUCUAUUCCCUGUGUGCCAUGUGCCCCUUGAGUAGGGGACAUCUGUUUUGUGUUGUCUGUGUCUCCAGCAUUAGAAUGGAACCUGGCACACAAUAGAGGCUCAAUUAGUAUUUGUUGAAUAAAUGAACAUUAAGAAACAGAAAAGAAAAAAAAAAAA
This 2186-nucleotide long non-coding RNA is filed under the name Homo sapiens (human). Its description in RNAcentral is "long independently transcribed non-coding RNA 1561 (LINC01561)". The record is from RNAcentral. Lineage: Eukaryota; Metazoa; Chordata; Mammalia; Primates; Hominidae.